Molecule: transfer RNA, 69 nt
Filed under: Cyrtodactylus louisiadensis
Lineage: Eukaryota; Metazoa; Chordata; Lepidosauria; Squamata; Gekkonidae
Description: tRNA-His
Rfam family: tRNA
About the family: Transfer RNA (tRNA) molecules are approximately 80 nucleotides in length. Their secondary structure includes four short double-helical elements and three loops (D, anti-codon, and T loops).
Source: RNAcentral
GUAAACAUAGUUUAACAAAAACACUAGAUUGUGGAUCUAGUAAUAAGGGCCGAUGGCCCUUUGUAUACC